RNAcentral lists this ribosomal RNA (729 nucleotides) under uncultured bacterium. RNAcentral describes it as "bacterial SSU rRNA". It matches the Rfam family "Bacterial small subunit ribosomal RNA", at positions 8 to 725 of the family's 1533-position model. The record is from RNAcentral.
AGAGUUUGAUCCUGGCUCAGAGUGAACGCUGGCGGCAGGCCUAACACAUGCAAGUCGAACGGCAGCACAGAGGAGCUUGCUCCUUGGGUGGCGAGUGGCGGACGGGUGAGGAAUACAUCGGAAUCUGCCUUGNUCGUGGGGGAUAACGUAGGGAAACUUACGCUAAUACCGCAUACGACCUACGGGUGAAAGCGGAGGACCGCAAGGCUUCGCGCGACAAGAUGAGCCGAUGUCCGAUUAGCUAGUUGGCGGGGUAAUGGCCCACCAAGGCGACGAUCGGUAGCUGGUCUGAGAGGAUGAUCAGCCACACUGGAACUGAGACACGGUCCAGACUCCUACGGGAGGCAGCAGUGGGGAAUAUUGGACAAUGGGCGCAAGCCUGAUCCAGCCAUGCCGCGUGUGUGAAGAAGGCCUUCGGGUUGUAAAGCACUUUUGUCCGGAAAGAAAAGCUUCGGGUUAAUACCCUGAAGUCCUGACGGUACCGGAAGAAUAAGCACCGGCUAACUUCGUGCCAGCAGCCGCGGUAAUACGAAGGGUGCAAGCGUUACUCGGAAUUACUGGGCGUAAAGCGUGCGUAGGUGGUUUGUUAAGUCUGAUGUGAAAGCCCUGGGCUCAACCUGGGAAUUGCAUUGGAUACUGGCAGGCUANAGUGCGGUAGAGGAUGGCGGAAUUCCCGGUGUAGCAGUGAAAUGCGUAGAGAUCGGGAGGAACAUCUGUGGCGAAGGCGGC